This 1635-nucleotide ribosomal RNA is filed under the name Triticum aestivum (bread wheat). RNAcentral's name for it is "partial small subunit ribosomal RNA". The record is from RNAcentral. Lineage: Eukaryota; Viridiplantae; Streptophyta; Magnoliopsida; Poales; Poaceae.
AUGUUAAAUGAACUCUCUCUCGUCGAAAAUCAAAUCACAGGUUCCAUCCCCGCUGAAAUAGGAAGGCUAGUCAUGUUAAACAAACUUGAUCUCUACCAAAAUCAAAUAACAGGAACGAUACCUCCAGAAGUAGGCAACCUCACUCAGCUGAACAUACUUCGUGUCUAUAAAAAUCGACUAACGGGUUCUAUACCCCCAGAACUAGGCAUCCUAGUAAAUCUCUCGAAUUUGGACCUAUCAGCCAACCAAAUCGCUGGCUCUAUUCCUGCCAGCUUAGGAAACCUUACUAAUUUAUUAAGAUUGUCCCUUUUUAGAAAUCAGAUAACAGGCUCUAUCCCACAGGAUAUUGGCAAUUUGGUGAACCUCCAAACAUUGUUCUUGGACGAGAAUAAAAUUUCUGGCUCAAUACCCAAAACAUUUGGAAACCUACAAAACAUCCAACGUCUGAACAUGAAUGAUAACAAAUUAACGGGAUCUCUUCCUCAGGGAUUUGGAGAUCUCAAGAACAUAGUCGGCCUUAAUCUGGCUGAUAACUCCCUUUCUGGACCUUUGCCUAUGAAUAUAUGUACCGGCGGCAGUCUCAGAGCUUUUGUAAUGUCUCUGAAUAUGUUCAAUGUCUCAGUUCCAUGGAGCUUAAAGACCUGUACAAGUUUGACUGGACUUUACCUUGACGGAAACCAACUGACAGGAGAUAUAUCUCACCAUUUUGGAGUUUACCCACAACUUAGGCACAUAUGGUUGACAUCCAAUAGACUCUCUGGGAGCAUUGCACCAAAGUGGGGAGACUGCCCCCAACUAAAGGAAUUCAAGCUAGGACAAAACAUGAUUACUGGUCAAAUACCUCCCACCCUAUCAAAAUUAUCCAAUUUGGUAGACCUAACACUCGAUUCUAACCACAUAACUGGUUGGAUUCCACCAGAGUUUGGAGAUUUGAAAAAUCUUUAUAUCUUGAAUCUGUCACUCAAUCAGUUAUCAGGCCCUGUACCUUUGCAGUUGGGGAAGUUGAGAAAUUUAGGACACCUUGAUCUAUCUGAAAACAGUUUGAGUGGAUCAAUACCAGAGGAAUUGGGAAGCUGCAUAGAACUAUUGUUCUUGAAGAUCAACACCAACAACUUCACUGGAAAAUUGCCUGGUGCAAUUGGAAAUUUAGCAAGCCUACAGAUGAUGUUAGAUGCCAGCAAUAACAAACUUGAAGGUGUCUUGCCAAAAGAACUUGGAAAGUUGGAGAUGCUGGAAUUUCUUAAUUUAUCCCAUAACCAGUUCAGUGGAAGCAUUCCGUCCUCCUUCGCAAGCAUGGUGAGCCUAUCGACGCUUGAUGUGUCCUACAACGACUUGGAAGGACCACUCCCAAUAGGACAUGCACUCCAAAAUGCUUCAAUAAAUUGGUUUCUUCACAAUAAAGCUCUGUGCGGUAACUUCUCUGGACUGCUACCUUGUUACUCAACUCCAGCAUCUGGUCGCCAUAAACAAAAGAUACAAAGUUCCCUCCUGCCAAUUGUUCUUGUUGUGGGGUUUUCCACCAUUGCUGCAAUUGUUAUCAUUGCAAUUCUUAUACGUAGCAAGAAAAAGAAACAACAAAGUGGUGCUACAGAUGAGGGGAGGAACAUGUUCUCUGUUUGGAAUUUUGAUGGAUGA